GUACUGACUUCACGGCAUGUAUGCUAACACUGGAAUGCUGCAGAGAAUAGAAGCAUGGCCCCCAUGCAAGGAUGACAUGCCAAUUCAUGACGCGUUUCACAUAUUU
Molecule: small nuclear RNA, 106 nt
Organism: Otolemur garnettii (small-eared galago)
Lineage: Eukaryota; Metazoa; Chordata; Mammalia; Primates; Galagidae
Source: Ensembl